GACGAACGCUGGCGGCGUGCUUAACACAUGCAAGUCGAACGGAAAGGCCCUGCUUUUGUGGGGUGCUCAAGUGGCGAACGGGUGAGUAACACGUGAGUAGCCUGCCCUUGACUUUGGGAUAACUUCAGGAAACUGGGGCUAAUACCGGAUAGGAGCUCCUGCUGCAUGGUGGGGGUUGGAAAGUUUCGGCGGUUGGGGAUGGACUCGCGGCUUAUCAGCUUGUUGGUGGGGUAGUGGCUUACCAAGGCUUUGACGGGUAGCCGGCCUGAGAGGGUGACCGGCCACAUUGGGACUGGGAUACGGCCCAGACUCCUACGGGAGGCAGCAGUGGGGAAUAUUGCACAAUGGGCGGAAGCCUGAUGCAGCAACGCCGCGUGCGGGAUGACGGCCUUCGGGUUGUAAACCGCUUUCGCCUGUGACGAAGCGUGAGUGACGGUAAUGGGUAAAGAAGCACCGGCUAACUACGUG
This 468-nucleotide ribosomal RNA is filed under the name uncultured bacterium. Its description in RNAcentral is "partial 16S ribosomal RNA". It matches the Rfam family "Bacterial small subunit ribosomal RNA", at positions 28 to 507 of the family's 1533-position model. The record is from RNAcentral.